This 253-nucleotide ribosomal RNA is filed under the name uncultured bacterium. RNAcentral's name for it is "partial 16S ribosomal RNA". It matches the Rfam family "Bacterial small subunit ribosomal RNA", at positions 524 to 776 of the family's 1533-position model. The record is from RNAcentral.
UACGUAGGGGGCAAGCGUUGUCCGGAUUUAUUGGGCGUAAAGAGCGUGUAGGCGGCUAGGUAGGUCCGUUGUGAAAACUCGAGGCUCAACCUCGAGACGCCGAUGGAAACCAUCUAGCUAGAGUCCGGAAGAGGAGAGUGGAAUUCCUGGUGUAGCGGUGAAAUGCGCAGAUAUCAGGAGGAACACCGGUGGCGAAGGCGGGUCUCUGGGCCGAUACUGACGCUGAGGAGCGAAAGCGUGGGGAGCGAACAGG